AACACUUGGCACUACAACAAACCCAACCUAAGAAAGCAGAAAGAAACAACAGAGCAGAAUAUGGCCUUCCCCACCCAUCAUGAGAAGUCUGGACUAUACCAUCCAUUACCAUGGUCCCAGGCUCCUCAAACACAGCUUUUUGUGAAAGCCUCCUUUCUGCAACAGGCUCCAGCAUUUCACAUUCCUCUUCUCCACAAAAGAGCCUUUGGAUACACAAAACCAACCAGCCCUUGUUAUUUUUCUUUCCAAUUCUAACAUCCUGUGACACGUAUUUUGUUCCCAGCUGCCCCAUGACUUAUUGUAGCGGGAAGAUCUGCCACUUCUUAAUAUCCCUGUGAUAAACCUCUAAAAUGCAGGGAACUGCAUUUUGGAUAUUCUGUUUGUACUGAAGUAGGCUUUUAACACUUCGGGGAAAACAAGACACCUUCAUGCUACUUUAAUUCAAUCACACCCUUGAAGAAGGAUUUGUGCAGGGAGCUUUUCAGCAUAGAGUGAAGCCUCCACCUUUCCUUUUAGGGGUGUAACAUCAGAUUGAGAGCAGGGAUACAGAUUUCCAGACAAAUAACAAGUGAGUUUGCAGGUUCAUGUGAUCUGUUUUCCACACACCUUGUGCAAACUUCAGAUACUGGAAUGGAAGAUUAAUUACUCAGGUUAUGUGAGAGCAAGGAGCAAGACCCUCCAUAAGAAAAAAUUGUAUAGAGGCUAAGGGUCAAGGUAUGCUUCAAAUGUUCCCAGUUAUCUCUUUUACUAUGUACAAAAGACAAGAGCAGAAAAGGAUUUCUUAAUUCCACUCUUCUUCCCCUUUCUUGUAGUAGGGGGAUUUGCUUAAUUCUUUACAGCUGACCCAGCCCUUCCUUUCUGACAGUCUUUGUGCAGAGUUUACGGCAUGCAGCUGCAGUCCUUCUGCUCAGGGCAGGAGUGUUAACCCUUCCCCUGACAAUCCUUGAACUGGUUAUUAUAUACAGUUCAUCACACCAAUCUGAUUUGAGACACUGCCAGAUGGUUGUUAUUUAGGUGAAAGCAGACCCAGAAUAAUAGUCAAAAACACUACAGGGUGAGUUUCUAAACUACUAAUUUGUGAUCAGAGCAUGGAAGGAAGAAAUAUGUUGGCAUGAAGAAGGGGCAUGGAUGAGAUCUGUAUGUUCUUUCGGCCCUUUGCCUCCUUCCUCUGGAAGAACUUCCAAACUACAGUCAAGAGCUUUUUCUUCCUUUAACUGUCUUGUUUUGGACCUUGGGUUGUUGGCUUUCCAUCUAGCUAUUUAUGGAAAAAGUGACCAGAAUCCUCUGAGCCUGCCACUGGAGACCACUUUCCCAACUCAGUUGAAAGAUUUUGUGAUCAGCAGGUUUCCCUCUCCUCUUCAAGAGUGUCAGAGACUGAAAUGGUUCAAGCUUUAAAUAUUGUUACGAAGGAGUUUUACCUAUUCUAGCAAAAACUGUACAAAGAAGCUGUGAACACCAAAGCCCAGCCCUCCCUGAAGAUGCCUUUGGACUGUGAGUUAAGCUGCCUAGGUAAGAUAAAGGAGACACUGUUGUUCAGUCAGACCAAGAAGAACUAAGCAAGGCUGAAGGAGAAGAAUGCAUCCACAAGAAAGCCAAACUCAGCAGAAAAUCAUCCCUAGCCAGCUUUGGGGGAGGCCAUAGCCCACAGAGGCCAGGUUUGCACAGGCUUCCCCCCAGCCCCCAACAAAGCAGGGAGGAGGAGAGUUUUGGGUGUGUGGAGCAACCUCUGGUCAGAGGCAGUGAACACCCAUCCUCCCUUACACAAACCCAUCCAGCUGUGAAACCCCACCCUUGGAAAGGCCACAUCCAUGGGACAUUCACCUGAGAGGCAGCUGAGGGGGUGUCAGAAUCCAUCAAAGAUCCUCCUGAGGGAGGUACCUGGGAUUCCCACCUGGCCUGAUACAUCAAUCCACUGGAUUCUGUUUUUCAAGGGGACCCUCACCACCAAAAAGACCAGAUGGAGAGAACCAUCGGGACACUGGUGGGAUCCUACGGACUGGUGAUAUUUUAUCUGUCUCUGAGACUCUACUUCUGUCCCCCCCACCUCUUUUUCUUUCUCUCUCUCUCUCACCCACACACAUUUACUGUUAAACAAAAUCAAUACUAUUGACUUUGACAUAUGGUCUCAUUUGCACUUUUAUUCAGACAGAGGCAUUUCUAAUAAUUUUGAGAACCAGACCAUGGCAAAGGGGCAUCAUGUUCUCAUCUGUGCUGGCAGCAGCAGGAGGAUCAUAGAGAUCACUAAACUCCCCUGCGCUUGCACCACUUAUUUAAUGGAAUUUUUACCAGGGAGUGUUCACUGGGAUUUCAAAAGGAAUACAGGUUAUCCUCUAAAUCUCUGCAUCUGCAGGACAGGGAAUUUUAAUU
Molecule: long non-coding RNA, 2367 nt
Organism: Cyanistes caeruleus (blue tit)
Lineage: Eukaryota; Metazoa; Chordata; Aves; Passeriformes; Paridae
Source: RefSeq, a predicted model, not a curated record